AGAGAAUAGAUACCCUGGUAGUCCAUGCUGUAAACGAUGAGAACUAGAUGUUAGGGGGCAUGACCUCUUAGUAUCGAAGCUAACGCGAUAAGUUCUCCGCCUGGGGAGUACGGCCGCAAGGUUAAAACUCAAAGAAAUUGACGGGGGCCCGCACAAGCGGUGGAGCAUGUGGUUUAAUUCGAUGCAACGCGAAGAACCUUACCUACCUUUGAAUCCACGGAACCUAGCAGAGAUGUUGGGGUGCCUUCGGGAGCCGUGAGACAGGUGCUGCAUGGCUGUCGUCAGCUCGUGUCGUGAGAUGUUGGGUUAAGUCCCGUAACGAGCGCAACCCUUGUCCUUAGUUGCCAUCAGGUUAUGCUGGGCACUUUAAGGAGACUGCCGGUGAUAAACCGGAGGAAGGUGGGGAUGACGUCAAGUCCUCAUGGCCCUUACAGGUAGGGCUACACACGUGCUACAAUGGGCAGUACAGAGGGAAGCCAACCCGCGAGGGGAGCGAAUCUCAUAAAGCUGUUCGUAGUCCGGAUUGGAGUCUGC
RNAcentral lists this ribosomal RNA (534 nucleotides) under uncultured bacterium. Its description in RNAcentral is "bacterial SSU rRNA". It matches the Rfam family "Bacterial small subunit ribosomal RNA", at positions 774 to 1308 of the family's 1533-position model. The record is from RNAcentral.